RNAcentral lists this ribosomal RNA (2671 nucleotides) under Clostridium beijerinckii. Its description in RNAcentral is "bacterial LSU rRNA". It matches the Rfam family "Bacterial large subunit ribosomal RNA". The record is from RNAcentral. Lineage: Bacteria; Bacillati; Bacillota; Clostridia; Eubacteriales; Clostridiaceae.
CUUAGUAGCGGCGAGCGAAAAGGAAAGAGCCCAAACCGAGAUUUAUCUCUGGGGUUGCGGACAGAACAUAACGAGAAUCAUAGUUAAUUGAACACAACUGGAAAGUUGGACCACAGUGGGUAAUAGUCCCGUAAGUGAAAACUAUGAUAAUCAGUUCUGCACCAGAGUACCACGAGACACGUGAAACCUUGUGGGAAGCAGGGAGGACCACCUCCCAAGGCUAAAUACUACCUGAUGACCGAUAGUGAAGCAGUACCGUGAGGGAAAGGUGAAAAGAACCCCGGGAGGGGAGUGAAAUAGAACCUGAAACCAUGUGCCUACAACCGAUCAGAGCACCUUAUGUGUGUGAUGAUGUGCUUUUUGUAGAACGAGCCAACGAGUUACGGUAUGUAGCGAGGUUAAGUACUUAAGGUACGGAGCCGAAGGGAAACCGAGUCUUAAUAGGGCGACUAGUUGCAUGCUGUAGACCCGAAACCGGGUGACCUAUCCAUGGCCAGGUUGAAGCGAGGGUAAAACCUCGUGGAGGACCGAACCACGUUGCUGUUGAAAAAGCAUGGGAUGAGCUGUGGAUAGCGGAGAAAUUCCAAUCGAACUCGGAUAUAGCUGGUUCUCCUCGAAAUAGCUUUAGGGCUAGCGUCGGAAAAUGUGAGUAGUGGAGGUAGAGCACUGAAUAGGCUAGGGGGCAUAGCGCUUACCGAACCUUAUCAAACUCCGAAUGCCACAUACUAUCAGUCCGGCAGUCAGACUAUGAAAGAUAAGUUCCAUGGUCAAAAGGGAAACAGCCCAGAUCGUCAGCUAAGGUCCCAAAGUGUAAGUUAAGUGGAAAAGGAUGUGGGAUUUCUAAGACAACUAGGAUGUUGGCUUAGAAGCAGCCACUCAUUAAAAGAGUGCGUAAUAGCUCACUAGUCAAGAGAUCCUGCGCCGAAAAUGUCCGGGGCUCAAACUUACCACCGAAGCUACGGGUUCACGCAUUAGCGUGAGCGGUAGAGGAGCGUCGUAAUCGGGCUGAAGUCGUACCGUAAGGAGCGGUGGACUGAUUACGAGUGAGAAUGUUGGCAUUAGUAGCGAGAUGUAGGCGAGAAUCCUACAGGCCGAAUAUCUAAGGUUUCCUGAGUAAAGUUUGUCUUCUCAGGGUUAGUCGGGACCUAAGGCGAGGCCGAAAGGCGUAGUCGAUGGACAAUUGGUUGAUAUUCCAAUACCACUACAAUCGUUAUUAUCGAUGGUGUGACGGAGAAGGAUAGGAUGUGCUAGCUAUUGGAUGCUAGUCUAAGCGUUUAGGGAGUUGGGAUUGGCAAAUCCGUUCCAAUAAUUCUGAGGCGUGAUGGGGAAGGUUCUACGGAACCGAAGUAUCUGAUUCCAUGCUUCCAAGAAAAGCAUCUAGAGAGAGAAGUAGUGCCCGUACCGCAAACCGACACAGGUAGAUGAGGAGAGAAUCCUAAGGCCGACGGAAGAAUUGCAGUUAAGGAACUAGGCAAAUUGACCCCGUAACUUCGGGAGAAGGGGUGCCUGAGAAAUCAGGCCGCAGAGAAUAGGCACAAGCAACUGUUUAACAAAAACACAGGUCUCUGCUAAAGCGAAAGCUGAUGUAUAGGGGCUGACGCCUGCCCGGUGCUGGAAGGUUAAGGGGAACACUUAGUGGUAACGCGAAGGUGUGAACUUAAGCCCCAGUAAACGGCGGCCGUAACUAUAACGGUCCUAAGGUAGCGAAAUUCCUUGUCAGGUAAGUUCUGACCCGCACGAAUGGCGUAAUGACUUGUGCACUGUCUCAACUGCAAAUCCGGCGAAGUUGUAGUGCGAGUGAAGAUGCUCGCUACCCGCGAUUGGACGGAAAGACCCCGUAGAGCUUUACUGUAGCUUAGCAUUGAAUUUCGGUAUUGUCUGUACAGGAUAGGUGGGAGAUUGGGAAACUAGGGCGUCAGCCUUAGUGGAGUCGUUGUUGGGAUACCACCCUGAUAGUAUUGAAGUUCUAACUGGAUGCCAUGAAACUGGUGACAGGACAUUGUUAGGUGGGCAGUUUGACUGGGGCGGUCGCCUCCUAAAAUGUAACGGAGGCGCCCAAAGGUUCCCUCAGAACGGUCGGAAAUCGUUCGAAGAGUGUAAAGGCAGAAGGGAGCCUGACUGCGACACCUACAAGUGGAGCAGGGACGAAAGUCGGGCUUAGUGAUCCGGUGGUACCUCGUGGGAGGGCCAUCGCUCAACGGAUAAAAGCUACCUCGGGGAUAACAGGCUGAUCUCCCCCAAGAGUUCACAUCGACGGGGAGGUUUGGCACCUCGAUGUCGGCUCGUCGCAUCCUGGGGCUGAAGUAGGUCCCAAGGGUUGGGCUGUUCGCCCAUUAAAGCGGCACGCGAGCUGGGUUCAGAACGUCGUGAGACAGUUCGGUCCCUAUCCGUCGCGGGCGUAGGAAAUUUGAGAGGAGCUGUCCUUAGUACGAGAGGACCGGGAUGGACUGACCUAUGGUGUACCAGUUGUUUCGCCAGAAGCAUAGCUGGGUAGCUAAGUCGGGAAGGGAUAAACGCUGAAAGCAUCUAAGUGUGAAGCCCACCUCAAGAUGAGAUUUCCCAUAGCAUAAGCUAGUAAGACCCCUUGAAGACUACAAGGUUGAUAGGUCAGAGGUGUAAGUAUGGUAACAUAUUUAGCUGACUGAUACUAAUAGGUCGAGGGCUUGACCAA